AGCUUUCCAGUUUCCACCCUAAUUUCUUUCAGAAGCCAUCUCAGCAACCAAAAGCAACAAGACGCAACGCAAAUAUCCCAGAAAUAUAAAAUCGCCGGAUCGACCUUUCCAUCUCCUUCAUCAAGCAUUAUAUUUAAUGGCAGGGAGACACCGAUAUUCUCCAUACAGAAACCAUCGUGGGCAUCCUCCAGAAGGGCCUCCUUCGCGGCUUCAUAUGGCUCGACCCAUGCCACCCCAUCCUGUUAUGUUGGAAGAAGAACUUGAAAUGCAACAUCAUGAAAUCCGCAGGCUUUUGGGUGAAAAUCGAAGGUUAGUUGAAGAUCGCAUUGCUCUGCAACGAGAGUUAGGUGCUAGCAGAGAAGAACUUAGGCGAAUGAACAGUGCAAUUGCUGAGAUUCAAGCAGAAACUGAAUUGCAUUCAAGGCAGCUUAUUGAGCGUGGGCUGAAGCUUGAAGCUGAUCUUCAUGCCACUGAACCUCUGAAAAAAGAGGCUAUGCAACUUCAUGCUGAAGUAGAGAGGCUUAGUUCUAUUAGGCAUGAUCUAUCUGGGCAAGUUCAGACUCUCACAAAAGACAUUGCAAAACUGCAAGCUGAUAACAAGCAGCUUCCAUUGUUGAGAGCAGAGCUUGAGGGACUACAGAAGGAGCUAAUGCAUGCUAGAGCUGCUAUUGAUUAUGAGAAGAAGGGAGGUAUUGAGCUGAUGGAUCAAAAACAGGCAAUGGAGAAGAACUUGGUUUCUAUGGCACGGGAGGUUGAAAAGCUUCGGGCAGAACUUACAAAUACUGAUGCUAGACCGUGGGGUGCUGGUGGAUCAUACAGGAUGAAUGUUGGCAGUUCUGGUGGCAGUUUUCCUCGUCCAUAUGGCGAUUCAUAUGGGCGUACACUGGGUGCUGCCGACAAUGGUACAUUGUACGGUUCAAGUUCUACUCCAUGGGCAGAGCUCGAGAAAUCUCGAAUGGCUCGUCGCUGAAACGUCGAUGGUUUCUUUUCAAGUUGAAAAUCACUUCUUCUCCUUGUUGUCUUGGCUAUCCAUUAUGGAGUGGGUAGAAGUGUAUAGCUCUUCUGAGUUUGUGUUUACAUCGCCCUCUAGACAACGAUCAUGCAGGCUUCUCAUGUAUCUUGUUUUGGUGCAAUCUUUGCUUAUUUCUACAUCUGAUUGUAAUGCUGCACUAUACUUCAGUAGUCAGGAUAAUCUCGCCACCAUCCAAGACAGCUUUGCUCGUUUCAUGUUGAUGCCAGCCGUGCACGUUUAGAGGAAAGGAGGUCGAAAGGCCAUCUCACAUGGGGCUGAGUUCUCGUAUGGACUUUAUGCUCUAGGCAAGUAUUCUGUCUCCAUUUUGUGGGUAAUUUAGGUUCCAACUUCCGUGAAUAUAAAUUUUUAGCCACCCUACAUAAAUGUACUUUAUUUACUUAGAUUAUUGUCUCUACUAGGUGUUUGUUUAUUUUGGAACCUUGGCAUAGAUAUAUGUGUCUUACAUGGAAGUAAAUUUGUAUCUUUUGGGGUUGAUUUUAGGUGACUUUAGUUCUAUAUGCUUCUUUUCCGGUUGCAUCAGAACAAAAUCGCUCUUUUGAUGUUACUAGGAUUUCCAUUAUUAAAUCCCACUCUAUCUUGUCACCGUUUCUCACUUCUCUUUGCGGUAGGGAUAGUUUCUAGUUUGAAAAUAAUUUUGUUACUCGUAAUGCAGUAUUCCUAAGCUGAGCCUAUCCACUGGACCUCAAUAGGUCAUGCAAGCUACAAUCCUGUAGUUUGGUGAUGAGAGUAAUGAUAUUCUGGACGAAAUGGUGCACCGAAUUCGCUCAUGAUGCUGAUCAGCUCAUGUCAGUUUUUUAGAUGAACGUUAGCAUUAUAGAUGAAUUUAGAAUUACCCGUUGGAAUAAAUUUUACUCUUAGUUGUCCUUCAUCGUGGCAAGUAGGCCAGUGCUGUGAUCUUGCAAAGAUUUUGUCAUUUUUAGUUACCAUUAGACAAGAUUACAGCUGACCCAUUAGGUCUUGAUGCCUUGUCCAUGACCUAAGUUUCAUCUGGAGGAGGCUUGGGUGCUUCAUCACUUGUGAAAUGAGACAACACAAAUGAUAUGGAUGCUAGGAUAACAUUCUGACAACUUUAAAGUACACGGGACCUUCCCAUAACCUUGCUGCUUUUUUUUGGGUAACCAUGAGUGUCCAGGCCAUAUUGCGUGCACCUCAACUAAUCUCAUUAGGCUUGAAGAUAACAGCCAUGAAAAAUCCCAGUGGCCUUAAGAAGAUUCGAACCGGCAACCUACAGGGAGAGUUCCCAAGGCGUCCCCAGGCCUAGUACUUGUUUGCCGGUUAAGCUGGCCCUUAACGUUGAGAAGCUUGUUGCUUCAGGUUGGCCCUGAAUUGUCAUCUUAUCUCCAAUUACACAUUGAAGAAAAGAUGACAUUGUACUUCAGGUUAUACCAUCAAAGGUGAUCAUUAAUCUGCAUGAGUUCUUAAUAGCUUUCUAUAGAACUUGCUACUAUAGUCAAAGAUUCAAGUGGUGCAUUUCCUAUAUAUGAGAGGUUGU
RNA transcript from Cynara cardunculus var. scolymus (artichoke), 2525 nucleotides. It is a transcript of the gene named protein FLX-like 3, with no coding region annotated. The transcript is spliced from 6 exons. NCBI's taxonomy places the organism in Eukaryota, Viridiplantae, Streptophyta, Magnoliopsida, Asterales, Asteraceae. The record is from RefSeq and is a predicted model, not a curated record.